This 433-nucleotide ribosomal RNA is filed under the name uncultured bacterium. Its description in RNAcentral is "partial 16S ribosomal RNA". It matches the Rfam family "Bacterial small subunit ribosomal RNA", at positions 29 to 507 of the family's 1533-position model. The record is from RNAcentral.
AACGAACGCUGGCGGCAUGCCUAACACAUGCAAGUCGAACGAGACCUUCGGGUCUAGUGGCGCACGGGUGCGUAACGCGUGGGAACCUGCCCUUAGGUUCGGAAUAACUCCCCGAAAGGGGUGCUAAUACCGGAUAAUGUCUUCGGACCAAAGAUUUAUCGCCUUUGGAUGGGCCCGCGUUGGAUUCGCUAGUUGGUAGGGUAAAAGCCUACCACGGGGACGAUCCAUAGCUGGUCUGAGAGGAUGAUCAGCCACACUGGGACUGAGACACGGCCCAGACUCCUACGGGAGGCAGCAGUGGGGAAUAGUGGACAAUGGGCGAAAGCCUGAUCCAGCAAUGCCGGGUGAGUGAUGAAGGCCUUAGGGUUGUAAAGCUCUUUUAACCGGGAUGAUAAUGACAGUACCGGGAGAAUAAGCCCCGGCUAACUCCGUG